AUGCUGAAUGAAUGUUGCAUAGCACCGUGCUUGAUUCUUUGCAGGUCUUCACUCCUAGCAAAUCUUCCAUCUACCUUAAACAUGUUCUAUGUAUGUUAUUUUGAAAAAUACAAUGGGUGCCAGGCGCGGUGGAUCACGCCUGUAAUCCUAGCACUUUGGGAGGCCGAGGUGGGUGGAUCACCUGAGGUCAGGAGUUUGAGACCAGCCUGGCCAAUAUGGUGA
This 222-nucleotide long non-coding RNA is filed under the name Callithrix jacchus (white-tufted-ear marmoset). RNAcentral describes it as "lncRNA (ENSCJAG00000072489.1)". The record is from RNAcentral. Lineage: Eukaryota; Metazoa; Chordata; Mammalia; Primates; Cebidae.